This 980-nucleotide long non-coding RNA is filed under the name Hordeum vulgare. RNAcentral describes it as "long non-coding RNA (HVUL_LNC015178)". Lineage: Eukaryota; Viridiplantae; Streptophyta; Magnoliopsida; Poales; Poaceae. The record is from RNAcentral.
UAUCUGAAAUCCAAGAAAUGAUUGUGUGACGUAGUUGGCUGAAUUUAAUAAUGUAGUUAAUUAGUUAUCGUUUUCUCUAGCUGAAAAAAUGUCCUGCACUAAAAUAACAUAGAAAAAAAUUAGAUCAGGUACACGUCAAAAAAAUACUUUUGUGUGUAUUUUCAUUUAUAAUAGGUCAGUCUAUUUCUCUACCAUGUGCAAUGUAUAAAGGAUUUGACAUCAGCUUGUAAGUUUUGCUAGCUAGUCAGGAUGUCGUUCAUGUUGUUAUCCAUGUGGUAGCCUAAGUGCAAGUAACCCAUGUGCAUCAUAUUAUAUAAUAUAUCCUAUAUAUGCAAUUUGCAAUUUAUCCAUGACAAAGGAGGCAACUUAAAAGAAAAGAAGGUGCAACGAAAAAGACUUUACACUCUGAAUUUGUACCGCUGCAAGCACUGCACCGGGAACAUGUGGCACGGUCAGAGUCUCGUCGCUUCUGGCACAUCUCGCCUUCGCCGGCAUGCAGCCUAACAUCUUAGUCCUCGCACAUGCUGGUAGUGAUGCGUUUUGCUCUUGGAUAAUAGCAUCGGCCGGGCUAAUAGAGAAAAUUGAUUAGCCCAGUCUGCAGUAUGCCCGUGUGUUUUCCGCUGAUUGAAAAGCUAGCUAGUCUUGGACCAAAUGGAUCCAGCUGCCCGCCUCUAGUGCCAGAUCGUGUAUUCAUGUGUCCCAGUAGAAUCAAGCCUAGCAUGUACAUACACUUGAGUCGGCGCCGUGCAGCCGCGCGGAAAGUUCCACGGUUGGAGGCCCUCCAAUCCAACUUCCGCAUCAUGCAGCCAUGUUAGCUAAUGCUGGCACACUCCGGUGUGCAGUCCCGUGUGUCAGGUUGUAAAGCCACAGCUGCGCGUCCACCUCGAGGCCGUUAAUAGGUUUGCAGGAUGGCAUGGAGAAUAGAGGCGCUAGGGUUUCGUGAGGAUGCUUACGUAGUUACGUGCGUCGGUGGAACAAAU